RNAcentral lists this ribosomal RNA (448 nucleotides) under uncultured organism. RNAcentral describes it as "partial 16S ribosomal RNA". It matches the Rfam family "Bacterial small subunit ribosomal RNA", at positions 335 to 799 of the family's 1533-position model. The record is from RNAcentral.
ACUCCUGCGGGAGGCAGCAGUGGGGAAUAUUGGACAAUGGGCGCAAGCCUGAUCCAGCCAUGCCGCGUGAGUGAUGAAGGCCCUAGGGUUGUAAAGCUCUUUCACCGGUGAAGAUAAUGACGGUAACCGGAGAAGAAGCCCCGGCUAACUUCGUGCCAGCAGCCGCGGUAAUACGAAGGGGGCUAGCGUUGUUCGGAUUUACUGGGCGUAAAGCGCACGUAGGCGGACUAUUAAGUCAGGGGUGAAAUCCCGGGGCUCAACCCCGGAACUGCCUUUGAUACUGGUAGUAUUGAGUUCGAGAGAGGUGGGUGGAAUUCCGAGUGUAGAGGUGAAAUUCGUAGAUAUUCGGAGGAACACCAGUGGCGAAGGCGGCUCACUGGCUCGAUACUGACGCUGAGGUGCGAAAGCGUGGGGAGCAAACAGGAUUAGAAACCCGAGUAGUCCCAUG